This 516-nucleotide ribosomal RNA is filed under the name uncultured bacterium. RNAcentral describes it as "partial 16S ribosomal RNA". It matches the Rfam family "Bacterial small subunit ribosomal RNA", at positions 28 to 523 of the family's 1533-position model. The record is from RNAcentral.
GAUGAACGCUGGCGGCGUGCCUAAUACAUGCAAGUCGAACGCAUUGAGAGAAGUGCUUGCACUUUUCAAUUUGAGUGGCGAACGGGUGAGUAACACGUGGGCAACCUACCUGAUAGCGGGGGAUAACGAGUGGAAACAUUCGCUAAUACCGCAUAACAAUAGAGAAGGCAUCUUCUUUAUUUAAAAGGCGCUUUCAAGCGUCACUGUCAGAUCGGCCCGCGGUGCAUUAGUUAGUUGGUGGGGUGAAGACCUACCAAGACGAUGAUGCAUAGCCGAGUUGAGAGACUGAUCGGCCACAUUGGGACUGAGACACGGCCCAAACUCCUACGGGAGGCUGCAGUAGGGAAUCUUCCACAAUGGACGAAAGUCUGAUGGAGCAACGCCGCGUGUGUGAUGAAGGCUUUCGGGUCGUAAAGCACUGUUGUAUGGGAAGAAAUGCUAGGCUAGGAAAUGAGCUUAGUUUGACGGUACCAUACCAGAAAGGGACGGCUAAAUACGUGCCAGCAGCCGCAGUAA